This 253-nucleotide ribosomal RNA is filed under the name uncultured bacterium. Its description in RNAcentral is "partial 16S ribosomal RNA". It matches the Rfam family "Bacterial small subunit ribosomal RNA", at positions 524 to 776 of the family's 1533-position model. The record is from RNAcentral.
UACGGAGGGUGCAAGCGUUAUCCGGAUUCACUGGGUUUAAAGGGUGCGUAGGUGGGUCUGUAAGUCAGUGGUGAAAUCUCCGUGCUUAACAUGGAAACUGCCAUUGAUACUAUAGGUCUUGAAUUAUCUGGAGGUUAGCGGAAUAUGUCAUGUAGCGGUGAAAUGCUUAGAUAUGACAUAGAACACCAAUUGCGAAGGCAGCUGGCUACAGGUACAUUGACACUGAGGCACGAAAGCGUGGGGAUCAAACAGG